This 360-nucleotide transfer RNA is filed under the name uncultured Microcystis sp. RNAcentral's name for it is "partial 16S-23S ribosomal RNA intergenic spacer". The stretch from base 134 to 207 matches the Rfam family "tRNA". Lineage: Bacteria; Bacillati; Cyanobacteriota; Cyanophyceae; Chroococcales; Microcystaceae. The record is from RNAcentral.
AAAGGGAGACCUAAUUCAGGUAUAAGACGAAAAAAAAGUAGUCCCUACCAAGAAUCAAUCCCAAAAGGUCGGAACGAGGUAUGAGGCUUUCAAACUAGGUUCUGGGUUCAUAAAAGACCUGAAUCAGGAACAAGGGCUAUUAGCUCAGGUGGUUAGAGCGCACCCCUGAUAAGGGUGAGGUCCCUGGUUCGAGUCCAGGAUGGCCCACCUGCACAGGUGGCAAAAACAAGAGAAGCGAGGAAUCAGCACCUUAUCUUAUAUACAUAUAUAAGAGAGAAUGCUGGCUCUGAGUACAGAGUCCAGAGGAACCUUGAAAACUGCAUAGAGCUAGGUGAAAAAGCCAAAAAAGAAGGCCGCAAG